Molecule: ribosomal RNA, 465 nt
Filed under: uncultured bacterium
Lineage: Bacteria
Description: partial 16S ribosomal RNA
Rfam family: Bacterial small subunit ribosomal RNA
Source: RNAcentral
CUACGGGAGGCAGCAGUGGAGAAUAUUGGACAAUGGGGGAAACCCUGAUCCAGCAAUGCCGCGUGUGUGAAGAAGGCCUGCGGGUUGUAAAGCACUUUCGGUUGGGAGGACUGCUUCUAGCACUAAUAUUGUUGGAAGUUGACGUUACCUUCAGAAGAAGCACCGGCUAGCUCCGUGCCAGCAGCCGCGGUAAUACGGAGGGUGCAAGCGUUAAUCGGAAUUACUGGGCGUAAAGCGCGCGUAGGCGGCUAGAUCAGUCGGGUGUGAAAGCCCCGGGCUUAACCUGGGAACUGCAUCCGAUACUGUCUAGCUUGAGUACAGGAGAGGAGAGUGGAAUUCCACAUGUAGCGGUGAAAUGCGUAGAUAUGUGGAGGAACACCAAUGGCGAAGGCAGCUCUCUGGCCUGAUACUGACGCCGAGGUGCGAAAGCGUGGGGAGCAAACAGGAUUAGAUACCCGCAUAGUC